Molecule: ribosomal RNA, 2280 nt
Filed under: human gut metagenome
Description: bacterial LSU rRNA
Rfam family: Bacterial large subunit ribosomal RNA
Source: RNAcentral
UCAAGCUACUAAGGGCAUACGGUGGAUGCCUAGGCGCCAGGAGCCGAAGAAGGACGCGGUAAGCUGCGAAAAGCCACGGGGAACUGCAAGCGAGUAUUGAUCCGUGGAUAUCCGAAUGGGGAAACCCGGCCAUCGUAAUGGAUGGUCAUCCGCAAGGAAGGGAACCCGGGGAACUGAAACAUCUAAGUACCCGGAGGAAAAGAAAUCAAACGAGAUGCCCACAGUAGCGGCGAGCGAAGAGGGCAGAGCCCAAACCUGUAAGCUACGGCUUAUGGGGGUUGAGGACUGACGUAAUUAAGGCCAGGCUUAGCUGAACUACCUGGGAAGGUAGGCUAGAUAAGGUAAGAGCCCUGUAAGCGAAAGGCAGAGCCUUAAGGUCAGUAUCCAGAGUACCACGGAGCACGAGGAAUUCUGUGGGAAGCAGGGGGGACCACCCUCCAAGGCUAAAGACUAACUGGCGACCGAUAGCGCAUAGUACCGUGAGGGAAAGGUGAAAAGAACCCCGGGAGGGGAGUGAAAUAGUACCUGAAACCGUAUGUCUACAAGCAGUCGGAGCGAAAGCGACGGCGUGCCUAUUGAAGAAUGAACCAACGAGUUAUCUGCACUAGCGAGGUUAAGUGGAAGACACGGAGCCGUAGCGAAAGCGAGUCUGAAAAGGGCGGCGAGUUAGUGUAGGUAGACCCGAAACCGCAGUGAUCUACCCAUGUCCAGGUUGAAGCGCAGGUAAAAAUGCGUGGAGGACCGAACCGGUGAGCGUUGAAAAGCUUUCGGAUGAGAUGUGGGUAGGGGUGAAAUUCCAAUCGAACGCGGAGAUAGCUGGUUCUCCCCGAAAUAGCUUUAGGGCUAGCCUCAGGUAGUAAGUAUAGGCGGUAGAGCACUGAUCGGGCUAGGGGCCAUAAAGGUUACCGAACCCUGUCAAACUCCGAAUGGAUAUACUGCAGAGCCUGGGAGUCAGACUACGAGUGAUAAGAUCCGUGGUCAAAAGGGAAACAGCCCAGACCACCGGCUAAGGUCCCAAAUGCCGUACUAAGUGGAAAAGGAUGUGGGGAUUCAUAAACAACCAGGAUGUUGGCUCAGAAGCAGCCAUCAUUUAAAGAGUGCGUAAUAGCUCACUGGUCGAGAGUCCCUGCGCCGAAAAUUUCCGGGGCUAAAGUACGGAACCGAAGCCGUGGCUGUGUACGUAAGUGCACGGGGUAGGGGAGCGUUGCCACAGGGGUGAAGCUGGUCUGGAAGGACUGGUGGACUUGUGGGAAGUGAGAAUGUUGGUAUGAGUAGCGAAAAGAAAGGUGAGAAUCCUUUCCACCGAAAGCAUAAGGAUUCCUGAGCAACGAUCGUCGUCUCAGGGUAAGUCGGGACCUAAUCCGAGGCAAAGAGCGUAGGAGAUGGACAACAGGUUGAUAUUCCUGUACCGGCAGCAAUUGUUUGAGCGAAGGAGUGACACAGAAGGGCAGGCAGGCGCGAGACUGGAUUGUCGCGUGCAAGCGUGUAGGGUAGUGUACAGGCAAAUCCGUACACUGAAAGCCUGAGGCGUUACGCGGAGCGAGCAGAGAUGCGAGCGAAGCUGCUGAUCCCACACUGUCGAGAAAAGCUUCUAGUGAGAGAGCUGCCGCCCGUACCGUAAACCGACACAGGUAUGCGGGGAGAGAAUCCUAAGGUGCGCGGGAGAACCCUCGUUAAGGAACUCGGCAAAAUGUACCCGUAACUUCGGGAUAAGGGUAGCCGUCUUGGUGAAGGAGCUUGCCUCUGGAGCUAAAGGCGGUCGCAGAGAAGAGGCCCAAGCGACUGUUUACCACAAACACAGGUGCCUGCUAAAGCGAAAGCUGACGUAUAGGUGCUGACACCUGCCCAGUGCUGGAAGGUUAAGGAAGGAUGUCCGGGCAACCAAAGCAUUCGACCGAAGCCCCAGUGAACGGCGGCCGUAACUAUAACGGUCCUAAGGUAGCGAAAUUCCUUGUCGGGUAAGUUCCGACCCGCACGAAAGGUGUAACGAUUUGGGCACUGUCUCAACGAGGGACCCGGUGAAAUUGAAAUACCUGUGAAGAUGCAGGUUACCCGCGACUGGACAGAAAGACCCCAUGGAGCUUUACUGUAACCUGACAUUGGGUUUUGUUGUAUUACGUACAGGAUAGGUGGGAGGCUUGGAAGGCUGGACGCUAGUCUGGCUGGAGCCGUCGUUGGGAUACCACCCUUGAUACAACGGAAUUCUAACCGAGAGAGUAACGAAAUCCGGGACAGUGUCAGGCGGGCAGUUUGACUGGGGCGGUCGCCUCCGAAAGAGUA